RNAcentral lists this long non-coding RNA (1488 nucleotides) under Coturnix japonica (Japanese quail). Its description in RNAcentral is "lncRNA (ENSCJPG00005003630.1)". Lineage: Eukaryota; Metazoa; Chordata; Aves; Galliformes; Phasianidae. The record is from RNAcentral.
AGAUCCCACUUUGGUGACACACUGCGUGGAAACAGCCAUUUCAAACUUAACAACUUGCAACAUCUUGUCCUCAAGACUCUUUGUAGCUCUCCUUUGGAUGCUUUCUUUUUAUCUCCUUACACAGCUCUGCUAAGUACAUGCUGUGAGUGAGCUCCUUAGAAACAUUCGCCUCAUACUGACAAGGCAUCUGGGUGGGAUGAAUGUGGCAAUCAUCUGGAAUGAAAAAAAGGGAUACUGAAAAAAAUGAUCCAUUCGCUUCAUCUGAGGACUGGACAGUACAAGAUGGACACGCACCAGGAAUCCUGUUGUGCUGUUAUUGCUGCCUGCUGAGGAGGACAGACAAUCCGACCACUAAUGUGUCUUUCAGUAUCUUUCAGAGGGAUGAACAGACUGUAGAGUUCAUAGAGCACACAACAGAAAACACGUAUGGCUACUUUCAAGGACCCUCAGUGUCUAAUUAUAUGAAGUACGGACGGGAGGCUGGCUGACACAUAUGAGUAAAUCAAGAUAGAGCAGUGAAAUCCUUUAAACUCUGCAGUCUGGCAAUAGCUUGUCACCUGAUUAAUUUUAACUUCAGUGGGAGCAAUAACCAAACUGACUUUUAAAUGUCUUCCAAACAGAAACAAAUUGAAGAUUAAACUCUUAUUAUACAUUAUGUAAUUGUUUGCUGAAUCUUCUCUAUAACAUAUACAUAUGUAUAUAUAUGAAUAGAUGCUACUCCAUUUUUCGUCAACAAUAGAAUGGUACAAUGAGCCAAAAAGAAAGAAAGAAAGAAUCAGAAAAUCUACUACAUUCAGAAUGAAAGCCUGGAGAUGUACAGAUGUACAGUCUUGAUAAAGGCUGGUUGAACCCUCAUCUCUGCAAUAUAUAUAUACAGAUACAAAAAGAAACUAUGGAAAGGCCAAAUUAGGAGAAGGUUAAAUGAGCAACAGAGCAGAGAUACCCACCAGAUGGGACGUGUGAUAAUACUCAGUGCCUGGCAGUACACAAAGCGUUCUGCCACAGGACGGACCUACACCAAAAGGUUUAUAUUGGCCAACCUGCAACUGGAGUUUGAAUAAUCACCUCCUCUGUGUGUCUAAUAGAGGAAGAAAAUCAAAAUCAAGCGUGGACAAAAUACGCACGUGUGCAGAGGAACCAGACCUAGGAAACGUCUGGUGUUCCAUCUCCUUAAAACUUUUAAAUGGACUUUAAGUAGUGUGCAGACUUUAUUGUGUUUCUGCACCCAGUCUGAGCUCCUACAUGGACUGGUUUGUGUUUUAUUUUUGGUUGGGUGUGAGGAACAACUUUGGUUUAAUGCCUUGAAUCUUCUAUGGGUGCUACCCGGAUGGCCAGGCGGCAUUAGAUCUUCAGUGCCAUGUACUUCCUUUGUAAAAUCUGCAGCAACUGCAGAGCUUAAGAUCUUAAAGAAAUCAAGGUGGGAUGAACGCACAUCCAUUUCCAAAAUGAUGCUGAGAGUUUCUUUUCCAUACUUGUGUAAAAGUCAUU